RNAcentral lists this ribosomal RNA (251 nucleotides) under uncultured prokaryote. RNAcentral's name for it is "partial 16S rRNA". It matches the Rfam family "Bacterial small subunit ribosomal RNA", at positions 525 to 775 of the family's 1533-position model. The record is from RNAcentral.
ACGUAGGAGGCAAACGUUAUCCGGAUUUACUGGGCGUAAAGCGCGUGUAGGUGGUUUGGUAAGUAGAGCGUGAAAGCUCCUGGCUCAACUGGGAGAGGUCGUUCUAAACUGCGGAACUAGAGGAUGGUAGAGGGGGAUGGAAUUCCGGGUGUAGCGGUGGAAUGCGCAGAUAUGCGUAGGAAUGCCGGUGACGAAGGUAGUCUCCUGGACAACACCUGACGCUGAGACGCGAAAGCUAGGGUAGCAAACGG